AUGAUUCUGUCGAGAAAAGAUCCCCUGCUAUCCAAACACUGCUAUGCGACAGGAGUUCCUGGCCCUGAUUGCAGUGAUGUUGCAGAGCUGCAGAAUUUAAAUCUUGGUGGCCAGUUAGAGCUACGUCGGAUGGAGAAUGUUAUAGAAGCAAAGGCAAAAGUGGCAAACAUUGGAAACAAGAAGGAUCUCAGAGAACUGACACUAAGAUGGACUUCUGUUUGUGACAGCAAGGUGCUCGACAAUUUUGAACCUCGUGAUGGGUUGCAGGUUCUCAAAAUAUAUUUCUAUGGAGGAGAGUACAUGGGUAUGUUGCAAAACAUGGUUGAGAUCCAUCUUGUUCAUUGUGAAAGAUUGCAUUUUUUGUUCAGAUGCGGAACAUCUUUCACUUUUCCAAAACUGAAGGUGCUCACGCUAGAACAUCUUUUGAAUUUUGAGACAUGGUGGGAAAUAAAUGAGAGGCAAGAAGAACGGAUUAUAUUUCCUUUGCUUGAGAAGUUGUUUAUUAGGCAUUGUGGAAAGCUGAUAGCAUUGCCGGAAGCACCCCAGUUGUUUAUUGGGAAAUGUGGAAAGCUAAUAGCAUUACCUGAAGCACUGUUGAUUGAGGAAGCCAGUAGUCGAGACUAUAGAUUGGUACGAUCACCAUUUCCUGCCCUAAAGGUACUCGAAUUGGAAAACUUGCAGAGCUUUCUGAGAUGGGAUGCAGUCGAAGGGACUCAUGUAGAACACAUGUUCUUUCCUCUGCUUGAGAAGCUAUCAGUUCAGAAAUGCCCAAAGGUAAUAGAUUUAUCUGAAGCACCAAAACUAAGUGUGUUAGAAAUUGAAGAUGGCAAGCAAGAGAUGUUAUGUUGGGUAGACAAAUAUUUGUCUUCAUUGACCAAUCUGAUACUGAAGCUAGAAGACAUAGAGAGAAGGUCAGAGGCUCAAUGCACUUUAAGUGUACCGGUGGACAGUAAUGAGAAAUGGAAUCAGAAAUCUCCUCUUACAGUUAUGGAGUUAGGAUGCUGCAACUCAUUCUUUGGAGCAGGUGCACUAGAGCCAUGGGACUAUUUUGUACACUUGAAGAAUUAA
RNAcentral lists this ribosomal RNA (1068 nucleotides) under Triticum aestivum (bread wheat). RNAcentral's name for it is "partial small subunit ribosomal RNA". The record is from RNAcentral. Lineage: Eukaryota; Viridiplantae; Streptophyta; Magnoliopsida; Poales; Poaceae.